AAAAUCACUUAUCGAAUAUUGAAAUUCGAAAGAUCCUUUAACGAAUCUUAAAAUUUAUUUAUUUAUAUUAGAUUUUAAAGUCUGGUAAAGAAAAAAUAGGAUUUCAAGAUUCAGUGGAGAAACUUUCAGAUUUUAAUAUGGUUUUUGAUUUCUUGAAUGUCAAAAUUUGAUUUCCUCAUUAGAUGUCAAAAGUUGAUUUGGUUUUCUCGAUGAAAAACAAAAAGAAUUCCCAAAAUAUUAAGAACUAAUAUCUAGAUGUA
RNAcentral lists this long non-coding RNA (260 nucleotides) under Vigna radiata. RNAcentral's name for it is "long non-coding RNA (VRAD_LNC002549)". The record is from RNAcentral. Lineage: Eukaryota; Viridiplantae; Streptophyta; Magnoliopsida; Fabales; Fabaceae.